UCCCUGGUGGACUAGUGACUAGCAUGUGGCACUCUUACAGCCACGGCCCGGGUUCGAUUCAUGGUCAGUAAA
Molecule: non-coding RNA, 72 nt
Organism: Pangasius djambal
Lineage: Eukaryota; Metazoa; Chordata; Actinopteri; Siluriformes; Pangasiidae
Source: the annotation of a GenBank genome assembly